UACGUAGGGUGCAAGCGUUAAUCGGAAUUACUGGGCGUAAAGCGUGCGCAGGCGGUGAUGUAAGACAGGUGUGAAAUCCCCGGGCUCAACCUGGGAACUGCAUUUGUGACUGUAUGACUAGAGUACGGUAGAGAGGGGUGGAAUUCCUGGUGUAGCAGUGAAAUGCGUAGAUAUCAGGAGGAACAUCGAUGGCGAAGGCAGCCCCUUGGACCUGUACUGACGCUCAUGCACGAAAGCGUGGGGAGCAAACAGG
This 253-nucleotide ribosomal RNA is filed under the name uncultured bacterium. RNAcentral's name for it is "partial 16S ribosomal RNA". It matches the Rfam family "Bacterial small subunit ribosomal RNA", at positions 524 to 776 of the family's 1533-position model. The record is from RNAcentral.